RNAcentral lists this ribosomal RNA (611 nucleotides) under uncultured bacterium. Its description in RNAcentral is "bacterial SSU rRNA". It matches the Rfam family "Bacterial small subunit ribosomal RNA", at positions 338 to 1363 of the family's 1533-position model. The record is from RNAcentral.
CCUACGGGAGGCAGCAGUGAGGAAUAUUGGACAAUGGGCGCAAGCCUGAUCCAGCCAUGCCGCGUGCAGGAAGAAGCAUCUAUGGUGUGUAAACUGCUUUUGUACAGGAAGAAACACUCCCUCGUGAGGGAGCUUGACGGUACUGUAAGAAUAAGGACCGGCUAACUCCGUGCCAGCAGCCGCGGUAAUACGGAGGGUCCGAGCGUUAUCCGGAAUCAUUGGGUUUAAAGGGUCCGUAGGCGGUUUAAUAAGUCAGUGGUGAAAUCUGGUCGCUCAACGAUCAAACGGCCAUUGAUACUGUUAGACUUGAAUUAUAAGGAAGUAACUAGAAUAUGUAGUGUAGCGGUGAAAUGCUUAGAUAUUACAUGGAAUACCAAUUGCGAAGGCAGGUUACUACUUAUGGAUUGACGCUGAUGGACGAAAGCGUGGGGAGCGAACAGGAUUAGAUACCCUGGUAGUCCACGCCGUAAACGAUGGAUACUAGCUGUUCGGAGCAAUCUGAGUGGCUAAGCGAAAGUGAUAAGUAUCCCACCUGGGGAGUACGUUCGCAAGAAUGAAACUCAAAUGAAAUUGACCGGNUGAGAGNGCGACGACGACGACGAGGGAGGAGG